GGGAAACCACCGGAAAUUCCAAGGAAUACUUGGAUUGUGAAUCCAUAGGUCCCAGGUUCGAGUCCUGGUGGGCCCACCA
RNAcentral lists this transfer RNA (79 nucleotides) under Gammaproteobacteria bacterium. RNAcentral describes it as "tRNA-Ser". Lineage: Bacteria; Pseudomonadati; Pseudomonadota; Gammaproteobacteria. The record is from RNAcentral.